CUUUUCAAAAAAACUUUUCCCACACUUCUCUUUCUCUCUCCUUGUACGUUCUCUCUUUCUUUCUCUCACCCUCUUUCUCUCUUCCUUCAACUAUUCAAACCUAAAUCGGUAGUCAUCCCCUUUCUCUCUCAUCUCUACUUCUCCCCUUAUCCGAUUCAAACCCUAAAUGUGCUGACAUCGAAAUUUCUCUUCCCAACGUUACGAGAAAGAUACUUUAUGUAAGGUAAGGGUUUCUUCGAUUCUUCUGGAGAUGAACUCAAGGCGUGGGAUGCUGAGUUUGUCAAGAGGUAGAGAGGUAGUGUAAAGGUGAGAUUGAUAAACGUUUGUUCAAUAUUAUGUUCAUUUCAUUUGACAUAGCUUUCACUUCUAAGUUGUUAUAAAACUUUUGUUCAAUGUUGAUUUUAAUGGCUUGUGUUUUGAUUUCUCGGUUACGGUGGUUACAUACAAUACAUUUACUCCGAUGGUGAUUUCGCCUUUUUGUCUUAGUGUUGAUGUUGUUGUUCAUAGUAUCUCCUGAAAUAAAAUCAAUAUACAACAAAAAAUUUAUAUAAAGGUAAUUUUGUUGCUAUAUUUUGAAAUUUCCUUUAUUACGUUUAUAAUCGAAUUCGGUAUGUUAGUUAGUGACGCACAUGUGUUUGUAUCCCUGCAGCAUCUUCAAGAGCCUGACUCAUAUGUUGGUGAAGUUGUCAAAGUUAUCGGCAAGAACAUAAUGUUGGUCAAGGGUCUGUUGUGAUAUUGCUGCAAUCUAUAUCGAAGAUCAAUCUACAGGGUGAUGAGGUGGAUUAUAUAGGUACACUCCACCAAUAUUUAUGUUCUAAGGUUUGAAAAUAUGUUCUGAUAGCCAAUAUCUAAUGAUGUUUUUCAGCAAUCAAUCCUAUUAUGAUGAUGUUCUUCUGCGAUCAAUCCUUUCUGAUGUUAUCAUAUUCUUUGGAUUGUGCUGUACUUCUGAUUUUGCAUGGGAGACUUCUAACUUGGUACUUGAUAGGGGUUCAUUUUUUGGGGGGGAUGAUUUUACUAAUUGAAAAGAACAUUUCUCUUAAAUUACUGUGUAAUAGGUGUGCCUUAAAUUACUGAUAAACAAAGUAACCUCUUUUCUUGGUCUUAAGUGAGAUUUGCAAAAUUUAUCUUUAGUGUUUCUGACAAAUAACUUCCAUACACCUUAUGCUGUUUACACCAGGGUUUGACCACUACUAAAUUUUGUUGAAAUUGCAGCAUGAGAUGCUGGCUUGGCAUAUGUUAGAGGCUUGUAGUUUCAGGUAUUUUCAAUUUUAUUUCAUAAGCUGUUAGAGGUUCUUUGACGUCACAUAGGUGUUGUCAAAUUAGAAGUUUAAUUUAACUUCGACUUUAAGGUUAAUAGAAUUGGCAACAGUGUUUGUGGUGUCAUUCUGUAAGUUAUAAGGUUCUUUUAUGUGGUUAGUUUGGAUGCAUUGCAGGAAGAUUAUCUUUAGGAAGAGCAACAUAUUGUCAAAGAAAAUACUGAGAAUAUGAUAUUCUUAACAUGGUAGAUGUAAUAUUUUCUCUACCUAUGGUAGUGACUGUAUGGCUAGAUUUAUUCUUAUAAGACAUGAAAAUAAUGUGAUUAUACAAUUACCCUUAGUGAGUGUCUUUACACUUAUAAUGAACCUAAA
Molecule: long non-coding RNA, 1628 nt
Organism: Vicia villosa (hairy vetch)
Lineage: Eukaryota; Viridiplantae; Streptophyta; Magnoliopsida; Fabales; Fabaceae
Exons: 3
Source: RefSeq, a predicted model, not a curated record